AAUCAACGCUGGCGGCGCGCCUCAGACAUGCAAGUCGAACGCGAAAGUCCCCCUCGGGGGACGAAGUAGAGUGGCGCACGGGUGAGUAACACGUAGGUAAUCUACCUUCGGGUCGGGGAAUAACAAUCGGAAACGGUUGCUAAUACCGCAUAAUGCAGCGGCACCUAAUGGUGACAGUUGUUAAAGCGGGGGAGUCGCAAGAUCUCGCGCCUGAAGAGGAGCCUGCGGCGGAUUAGCUAGUUGGUAGGGUAAUGGCCUACCAAGGCGACGAUCCGUAGCCGGCCUGAGAGGGCGGUCGGCCACACUGACACUGACAUACGGGUCAGACUCCUACGGGAGGCAGCAGUCGGGAA
Molecule: ribosomal RNA, 353 nt
Filed under: uncultured bacterium
Lineage: Bacteria
Description: bacterial SSU rRNA
Rfam family: Bacterial small subunit ribosomal RNA
Source: RNAcentral